UCUGCCAUGUUUUCAGGUCAGGUCUGUCUUGAUGUUCCCCCAUACGGAAAUGGCCAGGGAGCUCCAAGAAACCCAGGCACCAUCGCUUUGGCAGAGCCCGGGCAGUCAAGGCAGGGCAGCCGUGUAAAUCCGAGCAGUCCCGCGCAAGGUAGGGAGGCCAUGGUGUCCAGCAGUAACUGGCUCUCCUGGGUGAAUGUGCUGGUGAUGGCCUACGGUAGGCUGGACUUGAAAGAGGAGAUUGAUAUUCAACUAUGCAGGGUUCAAGAUAUCAAGCAUGAACCCUGGCUCCUUGCAAAUGAUGGUGCUAGACUGCUACAGUAGGAAACCUGGGGAAAUCAAAAUUGCUGCAGCUAUCUGUACAGGAUGAAAGCUCUGGAUGUCAUUCAUGUCUCUGAGAUCCCAUUUCAUGCUGAAGACUGGCAUCCGCCUCCUUAAUGGGCAAGAAUUUCCACUCCUACCUGCUAGAUCUGCGAAACACUACUAUUCCUUUCAAGGGUGUGCACGAGGCCCUCUUGAUACCCUGCUGGAUGGCUAUGAGAUGGCCUGCUGUGGGGCAGGGGUCUUUGGCCAGAAUGAAUACCUGUGCUAUCAGGAGGCCCUGAGUGAGCUGGCCACCAUGGUCAAAGCACGAACUGGGAGCUCUCAGCACCAACACCAGUCAGCAGUCAAAGACCUAACUCAGUCCCCUGAGGUCUCCCCAACAACCAUCCCAGUGACCUGCCUCCCCUCCAGUCAGAAGAGUAAACGUGCCAAGCACUUCCUCAAAUUGAAGAGCUCUAAGGACAACUAUAGCACAUUGGAGAGUACUCCGUGA
Molecule: RNA transcript, 814 nt
Organism: Propithecus coquereli (Coquerel's sifaka)
Lineage: Eukaryota; Metazoa; Chordata; Mammalia; Primates; Indriidae
Exons: 3
Source: RefSeq, a predicted model, not a curated record